GAUGAACGCUGGCGGCGUGCCUAAUACAUGCAAGUCGAGCGAACAGAUGAGGAGCUUGCUCCUCUGACGUUAGCGGCGGACGGGUGAGUAACACGUGGAUAACCUACCUAUAAGACUGGGAUAACUUCGGGAAACCGGAGCUAAUACCGGAUAAUAUAUUGAACCGCAUGGUUCAAUAGUGAAAGACGGUUUUGCUGUCACUUAUAGAUGGAUCCGCGCCGCAUUAGGUAGUUGGUAAGGUAACGGCUUACCAAGGCAACGAUGCGUAGACGACCGGAGAGGGUGAUCGGCCACACUGGAGCUGGAACACGGUCCAGGCUCCUACGGGAGGCAGCAGUAGGGAAUCUUCCGCAAUGGGCGAAAGCCUGACGGAGCAACGCCGCGUGAGUGAUGAAGGUCUUCGGAUCGUAAAACUCUGUUAUUAGGGAAGAACAAAUGUGUAAGUAACUAUGCACGUCUUGACGGUACCGAAUCAGAAAGCCACGGCUAACUACGUG
This 497-nucleotide ribosomal RNA is filed under the name uncultured bacterium. RNAcentral describes it as "partial 16S ribosomal RNA". It matches the Rfam family "Bacterial small subunit ribosomal RNA", at positions 28 to 507 of the family's 1533-position model. The record is from RNAcentral.